AAUCGAACCCGGAGAUAGCUGGUUCUCCUCGAAAUAGCUUUAGGGCUAGCCUCAUGGAUCAUUGAUGGGGGUAGAGCACUGAAUGUGCGCGGGGGCCACAAAGCCUACCAAACGCUAUCAAACUUCGAAUACCAUACAAUGCAGACCAUGGGAGUCAGUCCGCGAGAGAUAAGUUCCGCGGGCAAAAGGGGAACACCCCAGAUCAACCGCUAAGGUCCCCAAGUUCACGUUAAGUGGAGAAGGAUGUGGAAUUGCACAGACAACCAGGAUGUUGGCUCAGAAGCAGCCACACAUUUAAAGAGUGCGUAAUAGCUCACUGGUCGAGUGAUUGUGCGCCGAAGAUGUCCGGGGCUAAACGUGACACCGAAGCGAUGGGUGCAUCUGAAAGGAUGCGCGGUAGAGGAGCAAUGUGCAGAGGCAGAAGCCGUAUCGAGAGGCACGGUGGACACUGCACAAGAGAGAAUGCCGGUAUGAGUAGCGAGAGGCAUGCGAGAAACAUGCCCGUCGAAAGCCCAAGGUUUCCUGGGGAAGGUUCAUCCGCCCAGGGUAAGUCGGGGCCUAAGCCGAGGACGGAAGUCGUAGGCGAUGGACAGCAGGUGUAGAUUCCUGCACUACCGAUGGAAUGAAGCAGUGACACAGAAGGAUAACUCGAGCAGGGUGAUGGUCAACCCUGUGCAAGCAUCAAGGUUGGGUUGUAGUGAAGUACGCAACCCUAUAAGCUGAGGUGUGAUGCGGACCGAAAUUUCAGUAGGGAAGCGAGUGAGUUCACGCUGGCGAGAAAAGCUGCUAGUAUAUCCAAAGGUACCCGUACCGGAAACCGACGCAGGUGGGCGAGGAGAGAAUCCUGAGACGAACGGGAGAACCCUUGUUAAGGAACUCGGCAAAAUGACCCCGUAACUUCGGGAUAAGGGGUGCCUGCGAGAGCAGGCCGCAGAGAAUAGUCACAAGCGACUGUUUAGCAAAAACACAGGUAUCUGCGAAAGCGAGAGCUGACGUAUAGGUGCUGACACCUGCCCGGUGCUGGAAGGUUAAGGGAACAUGUUAGAGCAAUCGAAGCAUCGAACCGAAGCCCCAGUAAACGGCGGCCGUAACUAUAACGGUCCUAAGGUAGCGAAAUUCCUUGUCGGGUAAGUUCCGACCCGCACGAAUGGUGUAACGACUUGUGAGCUGUCUCAACAGGGGGCCCGGUGAAAUUGAAGUAUGGGUGAAGAUGCCCAUUACCCGCGACUGGACGGAAAGACCCCGUAGAGCUUUACUGCAGCCUGAUAUUGAGUUUCGGUAACUGAUGCACAGGAUAGGUGGGAGUCUGAGAGACAUGGGUUUCGGCUCGUGUGGAGACGGUGUUGGGAUACCACUCUUCGGUUACUGAAAUUCUAACAUAGCUCUGUGAAACCAGAGGAUGGACAGUGUCAGGUGGACAGUUUGACUGGGGCGGUCGCCUCCGAAAGAGUAACGGAGGCGCCCAAAGGUACCCUCAGAAUGGAUGGAAACCAUUCGAAGAGCGCAAAGGCAGAAGGGUGCCUGACUGCGAGAUUGACAAAUCGAGCAGAGACGAAAGUCGGGCUUAGUGAUCCGGCGGUAUUGAGUGGAAAAGCCGUCGCUUAACGGAUAAAAGCUACCUCGGGGAUAACAGGCUGAUCUCCCCCAAGAGUCCACAUCGACGGGGAGGUUUGGCAC
RNAcentral lists this ribosomal RNA (1677 nucleotides) under human gut metagenome. RNAcentral's name for it is "bacterial LSU rRNA". It matches the Rfam family "Bacterial large subunit ribosomal RNA", at positions 831 to 2524 of the family's 2925-position model. The record is from RNAcentral.